CCUGCGGAAGGAUCAUUACCGAGUGAGGGCCCUUUGGGUCCAACCUCCCACCCGUGUUUAUUUACCUCGUUGCUUCGGCGGGCCCGCCUUAACUGGCCGCCGGGGGGCUCACGCCCCCGGGCCCGCGCCCGCCGAAGACACCCCCGAACUCUGCCUGAAGAUUGUCGUCUGAGUGAAAAUAUAAAUUAUUUAAAACUUUCAACAACGGAUCUCUUGGUUCCGGCAUCGAUGAAGAACGCAGCGAAAUGCGAUACGUAAUGUGAAUUGCAAAUUCAGUGAAUCAUCGAGUCUUUGAACGCACAUUGCGCCCCCUGGUAUUCCGGGGGGCAUGCCUGUCCGAGCGUCAUUGCUGCCCUCAAGCCCGGCUUGUGUGUUGGGCCCCGUCCUCCGAUUCCGGGGGACGGGCCCGAAAGGCAGCGGCGGCACCGCGUCCGGUCCUCGAGCGUAUGGGGCUUUGUCACCCGCUCUGUAGGCCCGGCCGGCGCUUGCCGAUCAACCCAAAUUUUUAUCCAGGUUGACCUCGGAUCAGGUAGGGAUACCCGCUGAACUUA
This 551-nucleotide ribosomal RNA is filed under the name Penicillium expansum. RNAcentral describes it as "eukaryotic LSU rRNA". The stretch from base 194 to 346 matches the Rfam family "5.8S ribosomal RNA". The record is from RNAcentral. Lineage: Eukaryota; Fungi; Ascomycota; Eurotiomycetes; Eurotiales; Aspergillaceae.